GACGAACGCUGGCGGCGUGCUUAACACAUGCAAGUCGAACGGAAAGGCCCUGCUUUUGUGGGGUGCUCGAGUGGGGAACGGGGGAGUAACACGCGGGUAAACUGCCCUUGACUUUGGGAGAACUUCAGGGAACUGGGGCUAAUACAGGAUAGGAGCUCCUGCUGCAUGGGGGGGAUUGGAAAGAUUCGGCGGUUGGGGCUGGACUAGCGGCUUAUCAGCCUGUUGGUGGGGUAGUGGCGUACAAAGGCUUUGACGGGUAGGCGGCCUGGGAGGGGGACCGGCCACCUUGGGCCUGAGAUACGGCCCAGACUCCUACGGGCGGCAGCAGUCGGGAAUAUUGCACAAUGGGGCGACGCCUGAUGCAGCAACGCCGCGUGCGGGAUGCCGGCUUUCGGGUUGUAAACCGCUUUGGCCUGUGCCGAAGCGUGAGUGACGGUAAUGGGUCAAGAAGCACCGGCUAACUACGUG
This 468-nucleotide ribosomal RNA is filed under the name uncultured bacterium. RNAcentral's name for it is "partial 16S ribosomal RNA". It matches the Rfam family "Bacterial small subunit ribosomal RNA", at positions 28 to 507 of the family's 1533-position model. The record is from RNAcentral.